GACGAACGCUGGCGGCGUGCUUAACACAUGCAAGUCGAGCGGUAAGGCUCCUUCGGGAGUACACGAGCGGCGAACGGGUGAGUAACACGUGAGCAAUCUGCCCUUCUCAUCGGAAUAACCAUUGGAAACGAUGGCUAAUGCCGAAUACGACUUCCUUUCGCAUGUCAGGAAGUGGAAAGCUCCGGCGGAGAAGGAUGAGCUCGCGGCCUAUCAGCUUGUUGGUGAGGUAAUGGCUCACCAAGGCGACGACGGGUAGCCGGCCUGAGAGGGUGACCGGCCACACUGGGACUGAGACACGGCCCAGACUCCUACGGGAGGCAGCGGUGGGGAAUAUUGGACAAUGGGCGAAAGCCUGAUCCAGCAACGCCGCGUGAGGGAUGACGGCCUUCGGGUUGUAAACUUCUUUCAGCAGGGACGAAGCGAAAGUGACGGUACCUGCAGAAGAAGGACUGGCCAACUACGUGCCAGCCGCCGCCGUAA
This 480-nucleotide ribosomal RNA is filed under the name uncultured bacterium. RNAcentral describes it as "partial 16S ribosomal RNA". It matches the Rfam family "Bacterial small subunit ribosomal RNA", at positions 28 to 523 of the family's 1533-position model. The record is from RNAcentral.